AUGUCGCCGUCGAGUUCGCCGGAGGAGGAAGUGCCGAGUUCGCCGGAGGAACAAGACCAUCUGUCCAACUGUCCAAUUUCGCAUGCCUCGGCUACACCAGAGGUGGCAAAGGCGUCCAAUCCAACUCAGGUGGAGGCCAAGGAGGUUCGGCUCUCGGACCUUGCACCGACGAUGCUGGAUGAUACCGACAUGGAGACUACUUGUGAUCACAGGACUGCUAGCUUAAAUUCUUCAUUGAGACCAGGACUAUACACAGCAGCCAAUGAAGGCUUCUUUGAAUUUGAUCUUGAAAAGGAAAAGAAGAUAUCUCUAAGAACUCUGAUUGAUCCAUCAGCGGUGGAGAGCUUCGACAGUGGCAGGGUCUGCAUCAUGGCCAGAGCUUCUACCGUAGCGGUUGUCGACAGCGGGGCCCACAUGUAUGCCUUCAACAACGGCAGUACCACGAUAUGGUGCAGCCUUGGAGCAGUCGUGCUCUAUUAUAGAGCUGCUGUUGGAGACCACAUUUGCUCGUGCCUAAAAUACCAGUUCUCGUGUCCAAACUUUUUACUCCAUCAACUUUUGGCGUCUUAA
Molecule: ribosomal RNA, 570 nt
Filed under: Triticum aestivum (bread wheat)
Lineage: Eukaryota; Viridiplantae; Streptophyta; Magnoliopsida; Poales; Poaceae
Description: partial small subunit ribosomal RNA
Source: RNAcentral